Molecule: ribosomal RNA, 459 nt
Filed under: uncultured bacterium
Lineage: Bacteria
Description: partial 16S ribosomal RNA
Rfam family: Bacterial small subunit ribosomal RNA
Source: RNAcentral
CCUACGGGUGGCAGCAGUGAGGAAUAUUGGUCAAUGGCCGGAAGGCUGAACCAGCCAAGCCGCGUGAGGGAGGAAGGCGCAGAGCGUCGCAGACCUUUUUUGCCGGGGGACAAAAGGCCGGACUCGUCAGGUCCUGAGGGUACCCGGAGAAAAAGCAUCGGAUAACUCCGUGCCAGCAGCCGCGGUAAUACGGGGGAUGCGAGCGUUAUCCGGAUUCAUGGGGUUUAACGGGUGCGCAGGCGGGCCUUUAAGCCGGCGGGGAAAUCGCGGGGCUCAACCCGGCCGAGCCGUCGAAACUGGGAGCCUUGAGUGCGGCAGAGGCAGGCGGAAUGCGCGGUGUAGCGGUGAAAUGCGUAGAGAUCGCGCGGAACCCCGAUGGCGAAGGCAGCGUGCCGGGCCGCCACUGACGCUGAGGCACGAAAGCGCGGGGAUCGAACAGGAUUAGAUACCCGAGUAGUC